ACAUGCCUACAUAAUACCGUUAAUGCACUAGAUCCCAUUAGAACUCUGCAGUUAAGCGCGCUUAGGCUAGAGUAGUACUAGGAUGAGUGACUACCCGGGAAGUUCUAGUGUUUUACAUGCC
Molecule: non-coding RNA, 121 nt
Organism: Picea glauca (white spruce)
Lineage: Eukaryota; Viridiplantae; Streptophyta; Pinopsida; Pinales; Pinaceae
Source: Rfam